UACGUAGGGGGCGAGCGUUGUCCGGAAUCAUUGGGCGUAAAGAGCUCGUAGGCGGCUUGGCAAGUCGGAUGUGAAAACUCCAGGCUCAACCUGGAGCCGCCAUUCGAUACUGCUAUGGCUAGAGUCCGGUAGGGGAGUGUGGAAUUCCCGGUGUAGCGGUGAAAUGCGCAGAUAUCGGGAGGAACACCGAUGGCGAAGGCAGCACUCUGGGCCGGCACUGACGCUGAGGAGCGAAAGCGUGGGGAGCGAACAGG
Molecule: ribosomal RNA, 254 nt
Filed under: uncultured bacterium
Lineage: Bacteria
Description: partial 16S ribosomal RNA
Rfam family: Bacterial small subunit ribosomal RNA
Source: RNAcentral